AAGAGCCUCAAGGUGGGAGCAGGAAGGCUCUGCUGUGUCAGGUUAUACCUGCACAUAUGCAUGGCCACAUGGCCCAACACUGUAAGGGCCUUGCUUGUAAGUCCCUUAUUCCUGGCCCUCCCAGGAAUGAGGGUAAAAAAAAAAAAAAAAAGCACCUUGAAGCUGGCAGAACAGCCCCACGCAUCUGUGCCGUGCUUCCUGCCCCCUCUGCUGCUGUGAAGUGCCUGUGGUGGAUGUGGGAUGCUUCCACGCCAGCUCGUGUGGCCUCUUCCACCCACAGGGAUAACUGGGGUGUGCCGAUCGGCCACCCCAGGUCAAAGGGACUUCUGGCUGGGGAAAUAAGGGAAGAUCUCACAGACAUGGCAGCCUCUGUUUUGGGCCUUGAAAGAUGAGCAGAAAUUGGGCAUGCAGGGCUGGGAGAAGGGUAUUAUGAA
This 434-nucleotide long non-coding RNA is filed under the name Pan troglodytes (chimpanzee). RNAcentral describes it as "long non-coding RNA NONPTRT007114". The record is from RNAcentral. Lineage: Eukaryota; Metazoa; Chordata; Mammalia; Primates; Hominidae.